UCGAGCGGAAACGAGUUAACUGACCCUUCGGGUGACGUUAACGGCGUCGAGCGGCGGACGGGUGAGUAAUGCCUGGGAAUAUGCCUUGAUGUGGGGGAUAACCAUUGGAAACGAUGGCUAAUACCGCAUAAUGCCUUCGGGCCAAAGAGGGGGAUCUUCGGACCUCUCGCGUCAAGAUUAGCCCAGGUGGGAUUAGCUAGUUGGUGAGGUAAUGGCUCACCAAGGCGACGAUCCCUAGCUGGUCUGAGAGGAUGAUCAGCCACACUGGAACUGAGACACGGUCCAGACUCCUACGGGAGGCAGCAGUGGGGAAUAUUGCACAAUGGGCGCAAGCCUGAUGCAGCCAUGCCGCGUGUGUGAAGAAGGCCUUCGGGUUGUAAAGCACUUUCAGUCGUGAGGAAGGUGGUGUAGUUAAUAGCUGCAUCAUUUGACGUUAGCGACAGAAGAAGCACCGGCUAACUCCGUGCCAGCAGCCGCGGUAAUACGGAGGGUGCGAGCGUUAAUCGGAAUUACUGGGCGUAAAGCGCAUGCAGGUGGUUGGUUAAGUCAGAUGUGAAAGCCCGGGGCUCAACCUCGGAACUGCAUUUGAAACUGGCUGACUAGAGUACUGUAGAGGGGGGUAGAAUUUCAGGUGUAGCGGUGAAAUGCGUAGAGAUCUGAAGGAAUACCGGUGGCGAAGGCGGCCCCCUGGACAGAUACUGACACUCAGAUGCGAAAGCGUGGGGAGCAAACAGGAUUAGAUACCCUGGUAGUCCACGCCGUAAACGAUGUCUACUUGGAGGUUGUGGCCUUGAGCCGUGGCUUUCGGAGCUAACGCGUUAAGUAGACCGCCUGGGGAGUACGGUCGCAAGAUUAAAACUCAAAUGAAUUGACGGGGGCCCGCACAAGCGGUGGAGCAUGUGGUUUAAUUCGAUGC
RNAcentral lists this ribosomal RNA (916 nucleotides) under Vibrio sp. AD104. Its description in RNAcentral is "bacterial SSU rRNA". It matches the Rfam family "Bacterial small subunit ribosomal RNA", at positions 62 to 957 of the family's 1533-position model. Lineage: Bacteria; Pseudomonadati; Pseudomonadota; Gammaproteobacteria; Vibrionales; Vibrionaceae. The record is from RNAcentral.